Molecule: ribosomal RNA, 363 nt
Filed under: Haemopis sp. DS-2009
Lineage: Eukaryota; Metazoa; Annelida; Clitellata; Hirudinida; Haemopidae
Description: partial 12S ribosomal RNA
Source: RNAcentral
AGAUACCCUAUUAUUUUUAUUUGAUAUAUAGAUUGGAGACUACGAGCUAUAGCUUAAAAACUAAAGAAUAUGGCGGUAUUUUAUUUAAUCAGGGUGGCAUGUAACUUAAUUUGAUAGUCCACAAUUUUAAAUCCUAAUUUUGAAUAACAGCAUGUGUACUGCCGUAAUAAUGUAAUUUUAUUGAAUUAUAUAAUAUAUUUAUAUAGAUAUAUAAUCAGGUCUAAGUGCAGCUUAUAAUUAGGUGUAUUAUGUGCUACAUUUAUAUAAUCAUUCAGUUAUAUUGUAAAAUUUAUAUAAGGAGAACUUGAUAGUAAUGAGAUUAAUUAAAUUUUAUGAAAUUAAAAUUAAAAUGUGUACACAUCG